Mus musculus (house mouse) is the source of this 3487-nucleotide long non-coding RNA. RefSeq annotates it as predicted gene, 39000. The record is from RefSeq and is a predicted model, not a curated record. The transcript has 3 exons. Lineage: Eukaryota; Metazoa; Chordata; Mammalia; Rodentia; Muridae.
AUCUGCAACCGACGAAAGACUUUCCAGCCUUAGCCCUUCCAUCUUCCCCUAUCCUGCCUCUACACAGGAUGCUCCACUUCUCCUCCAGGUUUCGCUCCGCCUCUUUUCCUAGGUAGCUCUAUCCUCCUGCGUGGUCUGGCCUCUUUGUGACUCCCUCCCUUCCACGCUCACGGACCCUACUUACUAGCCUACGAGGCUGACUAGUCCUUUCUCUUUCAAAACUCGCUCUUCAAUUUAACUCUGCUGCUCACUGGAUUGAGAAUCCUUCCCCAGGACCACCCACCCUUGGCUCCAGCUGGUUCUUCCCCAUCUUCUUGACACCUUCACCUCUUCCACCGGUAAUCUGCAAACCCAUCGGCCCCGCCCUAUGCACGGGACUUUGUUUGCUCUGUCCAUUAGCAAUUGGGGAGUGUUCUACCCUCAGAUAGCCCUCCUCCUACAGUCCACGCCCACCUAAAUUGUCUUCCCUCCUCCAGGCUAGACCCGCCCCUUGUCCCGCCCUAUAAUUACGCCUCUGCUCCGCCCUGAUGAUGUCCCACCUCACCUAUGAAGGUCCCUGUACCUUCCUUGCUAGCUUCACUCUUUCCCUGGUGGCCUUGCUUACUUGAGGUUUUCUCACAAACUGCUUGCUAGCUCCUCCCUUUCCUGGCAGCCACGUCCAUCAGCAGCUAUUUCCCUAAUCUUCACAGCUAGCUUGGCAUCUUCUCCAACAGCCACGCCCACCGGUAGCUGCCCUAGCUCCUCCUUAUUGGCGCCUCCCUCCCUGAAGGGCACGCCCCCUCGCUGUCUCUUCUCUUUGCUGACACCCAGGACUCCAUGUGCUUCCCCUCUUCUGCUGCUGGACGGCCCCUACUGCUCUUACCCGCCACAGUGAGGUUGAACACUGAACGCCGGCGGUGGCCAGUGCGAGGGUUCGCGGCGAUGCAGGCAAAACACUGACGUCAGCUGCAGCUUCGGUGUGGCCAAAGGGGCUUCGGACCUGGCAAGUGUACCGGGCGUGGUCGCUGCGUACCGGACGUGAGAUGAGCAGCUGGUCCCGUUCUGUGCGGAUGCGAGGUGGCUCUGCGCCUUCAGGGUCUGAGGUGCCCAGGGCUCGUCCGUCUCUACUCCAGCUCAGCUUCCCGCUACCUGGGUUCCACCCCACGCAGCUUAGCCGCAGCUCGGCUGCUCCUUCUUCUGUCUCUGGCGCCCUGGGCUGUACUGACAACUGGGGCAAGGGCUCUGGAGAUCCAGAACAGUCUUUGAUGAGUUGGAGAGCCCAUACACCAGAACUCCCUCCCUGGGCCAUAAGUCUCUGCCUCUUCAGUCCUUCCUCUCUCCUCUCACUGCACCCAGAAUCAGAGCUCUCAGUCCUUCUUCCUCUGAUCCAGGGAUAUAGACCCCAGCCCUCCUCCCUUGGACCCAGAGGUGCAUACCUCAGCCCGCAAACUUAGGUGUCCAAACCCCAAUCUUAUUCCAUCAGUCUGAGGACUCCAGACUCCAGCCCUCCUUCAGACUCUGAGGUCAAGACCCACCCCCUCUUCCCUCAAACCCAGGGGUUCAGACUUCAAUCCUCCUCCUUCAGACCUGAGUCCAAACCCCAGUCUUAAUUCCCUCGGUCCCACGGAUUCAGGCCCUAGCCCUCCCCCGUCACACCUAAGUGAGGUCCAGGCCUCUCUCAGACCUAAGAGUCCAGCUUAGACCUCCUCCUUCAGACAAGGUGAGCUCUGGUCCCUGCCUUUGCUCUUAUCCCCACCCACAGGCUCUUUCUUCUAGGAAGGAAGCAUAUUCACACAGCACAGACUUGUCCAGAGGUCUGCGAGGAGAGCAGGCACUCGGCAGCCUGCACUCUGGACCUCGGACCCCACUUACCAAAUACACCCACCACAAACUCUCGAAUCUGCUGGGAGACUCCUCCCCUGAUGACCUCAACUGUGUACACCCCUGCAUCAUCCAGCCGGGCAGAGAGGUUGUAUGGAGAAGCCCAGGCUGAACCUCCACUCCUCACCCCCAGGGCAAGGUGAACUCCCAGCUGGGACCAAGCAGCAAGCCUGUGGGGACCACGCAGGAAGACUUCCUUCAGGCGUGUCUGUGAAGUCAGAGCCCCUCCUGUGUCCCCACCUGGCCCAGGUGUCUUGCUUCCCAGCCUUCUGCUGUCUACUGUCUGACCUGCAGUCUUUUCUCUGACCCUGCCCUCUUCUCCAGAUCCUUCUGUGACUCCUUAUGAUCCUCGGAACCAAGUCUCCAGUUGCUGUCUCUAUCAAAGCCAUCUACCCUGAUACUUAGAAAUCAGUUUCCAUUGUUCAAUACCUGAUGAACUCAGCAUCUCCCUCUGACCCAUACUUUCAGGAUCACCUAUGCAAAGCCUGCGGAGGCUUCCCACUGUCCCCCCUACCCAGCACUGCUACCAAUCUCUGAAUACUACCUAGAUCUCUUCCCAUUUUCUCCUCUUGUACCCACUGCUCAGACCUUACCCUUUUCAUCUGCAACCCCCUUCCCCCCCACACACACUUUCUGUAACCUCCUACUCUGUAAGUCCCCUCCCUGGCCAGCAGAUCCCUCCCUCCAUAUCCCAGCCUUGCUUGGCUUCACAGCAUCCUCUGCAGACAUCCUUACUGGCCUCACCCACUUCUCUGCACUAUGUCUUACCCUCCUGAACAUGCCGCUCUUCUGAUGCCAUCUAACCUCCCAGCCCUUGCCAGCAUUCUUCUCUUUACCUGGAAUGCGUUUUCCCUCUCCAAUCUGGCCACCUCACAACUGGUCCUUCAGGUCUCACCUCAUUAACAGCCAUAAUAAUGACAACUUCAGCUCAGCCAGGAACUAUGCUAAAUCCUACCAGCACAUUAUUAUCAGGCUGAUUUCUUUUUUCUCAGUGUCCUCUGAGCAGAAUGUUUGAUCCUCACUUCACAGACCAAUGAGGAUGCAGAAAAGCCAAAUUUCCCAUGAGAGGUUGCAGAGCCAGCAAGAGAGGCUGGACUUAGGUUAAGGCUGGUCAGAUUGCUUCAGUCCGUCAGAACGUUUUCUUAUCACCCCUUGCUAGGUAGGCUUUAGGCCUCUGCUCAGCUCUGAACCUCUGAGACCUAGUGCUUUCCGUGCUGGUGGAAGGCAUGGUCAGAAGGCAUUGAGCAUGCUCCAUAUAUUAUCAUAUAUAGCUCAGAAGUGCUAUGUCAGAAAACCUUUUGAGGAAAAUAAUGUUUUGCUGGGCAUAGUGGCACACACCUUUAACCCCAGCACUUGGGAGGCAGAGGCAGGAGGAUCUCUGAGUUCAAGGCUAUCCUGGUCUACAUAGGGAGUUCCAGGACAACCAGGACAGCAUGGAGACUCUAAGAAAAUAGAAGUAAAUGAAUAAUAAUACUAUUUUAGUUUAUUCUUUGAGAAUUUAACAUGUUUUGAUCAUAUCUUUUCUUGUCCCCUAACUCCUUCUAGAUCUUUCCCAACCCCCUACUCACCUGUCUUCAUGUUCUUUCUCUAAGAUAAAAUGAAGUAAAAUAAAAUAAAGCACAGAGUC